Non-coding RNA from Bos taurus (domestic cattle), 72 nucleotides. NCBI's taxonomy places the organism in Eukaryota, Metazoa, Chordata, Mammalia, Artiodactyla, Bovidae. The record is from Rfam.
UCCCUGGUGGCUCAGAGGUUAAAGCAUCUGCCUGGAAUACAGGAGACCUGGGUUCGAUCCCUGGGUCGGGAA